Diospyros lotus (date-plum) is the source of this 556-nucleotide long non-coding RNA. RefSeq lists it as uncharacterized. The transcript is spliced from 2 exons. The record is from RefSeq and is a predicted model, not a curated record. Lineage: Eukaryota; Viridiplantae; Streptophyta; Magnoliopsida; Ericales; Ebenaceae.
GUGGCAUCAACUGAAAUUACUAGAAUACCCUUACGCGCUGAUAGUCUUACCUGCUACGCGGAUCACCUGAGAGAUCGACACGUGGCAAGUCAACACUUCAGAGCAGAGCCCGAGAAAUCCGGACCGAACCGCAAGACUCGUUCCUACUUGACCGGGAUUCUCGAGAGUCGUGCCCACUCAUCUCGGAUACCCCAAAACGAGUUCGCCUAUAAAAGACAAGGACUCUCGUCAGGUUCUACACCCGAGAUCCGACAUCCCCAAGUCCGAGGUUCCAUUCCCGAGGUCCAGUCACAGAAGUAGCACGUGGUGAUCGAUCCCGAAAACCAUCGUCAAGUUCAACAUUAGAAAAUUUUGAUGGGUCCGAUUCCGGAACCCACUAGAUUGGUUUCGGCAUAAUUAUAACCCAUCUACUACUCGGCUCCUACGCCAGAGCCAAUAUUGCUAGGUUCCAGUGUCAAAAUUCACACAAGUUUUGGUUGUUGUCGGGCUGGUCACUAACGAUGGCGGGAACCCCACCCCAUAUCAGUUUUGGUUAGUAAGGCCUUUUGUAUUUUUA